Molecule: ribosomal RNA, 468 nt
Filed under: uncultured bacterium
Lineage: Bacteria
Description: partial 16S ribosomal RNA
Rfam family: Bacterial small subunit ribosomal RNA
Source: RNAcentral
GACGAACGCUGGCGGCGUGCUUAACACAUGCAAGUCGAACGGAAAGGCCCUGCUUUUGUGGGGUGCUCGAGUGGCGAACGGGUGAGUAACACGUGAGUAACCUGCCCUUGACUUUGGGAUAACUUCAGGAAACUGGGGCUAAUACCGGAUAGGAGCUCCUGCUGCAUGGUGGGGGUUGGAAAGUUUCGGCGGUGGGGGAUGGACUCGCGGCUUAUCAGCUUGUUGGUGGGGUAGUGGCUUACCAAGGCUUUGACGGGUAGCCGGCCUGGGAGGGUGACCGGCCACAUUGGGACUGAGGUACGGCCCAGACUCCUACGGGCGGCAGCAGGGGGGAAUAUUGCGCAAUGGGCGGAAGCCUGAUGCAGCAGCGCCGCGUGCGGGAUGACGGCCUUCGGGUUGUAAACCGCUUUCGCCUGUGCCGAAGCGUGAGUGACGGUAAUGGGUAAAGAAGCACCGGCUAACUACGUG